This 505-nucleotide ribosomal RNA is filed under the name uncultured bacterium. RNAcentral's name for it is "partial 16S ribosomal RNA". It matches the Rfam family "Bacterial small subunit ribosomal RNA", at positions 28 to 507 of the family's 1533-position model. The record is from RNAcentral.
GACGAACGCUGGCGGCGUGCCUAAUACAUGCAAGUAGAACGCACAGUUUAUACCGUAGCUUGCUACACCAUAGACUGUGAGUUGCGAACGGGUGAGUAACGCGUAGGUAACCCGCCUGGUAGCGGGGGAUAACUAUUGGAAACGAUAGCUAAUACCGCAUAAUAUUAAUUAUUGCAUGAUAAUUAAUUGAAAGGUGCAAUUGCACCACUACCAGAUGGACCUGCGUUGUAUUAGCUAGUAGGUGAGGUAACGGCUCACCUAGGCGACGAUACAUAGCCGACCUGAGAGGGUGAUCGGCCACACUGGGACUGAGACACGGCCCAGACUCCUACGGGGGGCAGCAGUAGGGAAUCUUCGGCAAUGGACGAAAGUCUGACCGAGCAACGCCGCGUGAGUGAAGAAGGUUUUCGGAUCGUAAAGCUCUGUUGUAAGAGAAGAACGGGUGUGAGAGUGGAAAGUUCACACUGUGACGGUAUCUUACCAGAAAGGGACGGCUAACUACGUG